Molecule: long non-coding RNA, 31463 nt
Filed under: Cucumis sativus (cucumber)
Lineage: Eukaryota; Viridiplantae; Streptophyta; Magnoliopsida; Cucurbitales; Cucurbitaceae
Description: long non-coding RNA (CSAT_LNC001527)
Source: RNAcentral
GAAUUUUCGAGACCUUUGGCACCGUUCUAAGAUGGGUCCUCUCUUCGUAGGCUAAUGCAUUGGCCCUUUUUGACCCGUUUUGGGGCGAAAACAAAAACUGACUCCCGGGCAUAUUUUUUUUCGGCCUUUAUGGGCAGAGAACUUUAAUGCCGCUCAGAAUGAGGCCACCCAGUAGUUAGGUGUGAAUUUUCGAGACCUUUGGCACCGUUCUAAGAUGGGUCCUCUCUUCGUAGGCUAAUGCAUUGGCCCUUUUUGACCCGUUUUGGGGCGAAAACAAAAACUGACUCCCGGGCAUAUUUUUUUCGGCCUUUAUGGGCAGAGAACUUUAAUGCCGCUCGGAAUGAGGCCACCCAGUAGUUAGGUGUGAAUUUUCGAGACCUUUGGCACCGUUCUAAGAUGGGUCCUCUCUUCGUAGGCUAAUGCAUUGGCCCUUUUUGACCCGUUUUGGGGCGAAAACAAAAACUGACUCCCGGGCAUAUUUUUUUCGGCCUUUAUGGGCAGAGAACUUUAAUGCCGCUCGGAAUGAGGCCACCCAGUAGUUAGGUGUGAAUUUUCGAGACCUUUGGCACCGUUCUAAGAUGGGUCCUCUCUUCGUAGGCUAAUGCAUUGGCCCUUUUUUGACCCGUUUUGGGGCGAAAACAAAAACUGACUCCCGGGCAUAUUUUUUUCGGCCUUUAUGGGCAGAGAACUUUAAUGCCGCUCAGAAUGAGGCCACCCAGUAGUUAGGUGUGAAUUUUCGAGACCUUUGGCACCGUUCUAAGAUGGGUCCUCUCUUCGUAGGCUAAUGCAUUGGCCCUUUUUGACCCGUUUUGGGGCGAAAACAAAAACUGACUCCCGGGCAUAUUUUUUUCGGCCUUUAUGGGCAGAGAACUUUAAUGCCGCUCAGAAUGAGGCCACCCAGUAGUUAGGUGUGAAUUUUCGAGACCUUUGGCACCGUUCUAAGAUGGGUCCUCUCUUCGUAGGCUAAUGCAUUGGCCCUUUUUGACCCGUUUUGGGGCGAAAACAAAAACUGACUCCCGGGCAUAUUUUUUUCGGCCUUUAUGGGCAGAGAACUUUAAUGCCGCUCAGAAUGAGGCCACCCAGUAGUUAGGUGUGAAUUUUCGAGACCUUUGGCACCGUUCUAAGAUGGGUCCUCUCUUCGUAGGCUAAUGCAUUGGCCCUUUUUGACCCGUUUUGGGGCGAAAACAAAAACUGACUCCCGGGCAUAUUUUUUUCGGCCUUUAUGGGCAGAGAACUUUAAUGCCGCUCAGAAUGAGGCCACCCAGUAGUUAGGUGUGAAUUUUCGAGACCUUUGGCACCGUUCUAAGAUGGGUCCUCUCUUCGUAGGCUAAUGCAUUGGCCCUUUUUGACCCGUUUUGGGGCGAAAACAAAAACUGACUCCCGGGCAUAUUUUUUUUCGGCCUUUAUGGGCAGAGAACUUUAAUGCCGCUCAGAAUGAGGCCACCCAGUAGUUAGGUGUGAAUUUUCGAGACCUUUGGCACCGUUCUAAGAUGGGUCCUCUCUUCGUAGGCUAAUGCAUUGGCCCUUUUUGACCCGUUUUGGGGCGAAAACAAAAACUGACUCCCGGGCAUAUUUUUUUCGGCCUUUAUGGGCAGAGAACUUUAAUGCCGCUCAGAAUGAGGCCACCCAGUAGUUAGGUGUGAAUUUUCGAGACCUCUGGCACCGUUCUAAGAUGGGUCCUCUCUUCGUAGGCUAAUGCAUUGGCCCUUUUUGACCCGUUUUGGGGCGAAAACAAAAACUGACUCCCGGGCAUAUUUUUUUCGGCCUUUAUGGGCAGAGAACUUUAAUGCCGCUCAGAAUGAGGCCACCCAGUAGUUAGGUGUGAAUUUUCGAGACCUCUGGCACCGUUCUAAGAUGGGUCCUCUCUUCGUAGGCUAAUGCAUUGGCCCUUUUUGACCCGUUUUGGGGCGAAAACAAAAACUGACUCCCGGGCAUAUUUUUUUCGGCCUUUAUGGGCAGAGAACUUUAAUGCCGCUCAGAAUGAGGCCACCCAGUAGUUAGGUGUGAAUUUUCGAGACCUCUGGCACCGUUCUAAGAUGGGUCCUCUCUUCGUAGGCUAAUGCAUUGGCCCUUUUUGACCCGUUUUGGGGCGAAAACAAAAACUGACUCCCGGGCAUAUUUUUUUCGGCCUUUAUGGGCAGAGAACUUUAAUGCCGCUCAGAAUGAGGCCACCCAGUAGUUAGGUGUGAAUUUUCGAGACCUCUGGCACCGUUCUAAGAUGGGUCCUCUCUUCGUAGGCUAAUGCAUUGGCCCUUUUUGACCCGUUUUGGGGCGAAAACAAAAACUGACUCCCGGGCAUAUUUUUUUCGGCCUUUAUGGGCAGAGAACUUUAAUGCCGCUCAGAAUGAGGCCACCCAGUAGUUAGGUGUGAAUUUUCGAGACCUCUGGCACCGUUCUAAGAUGGGUCCUCUCUUCGUAGGCUAAUGCAUUGGCCCUUUUUGACCCGUUUUGGGGCGAAAACAAAAACUGACUCCCGGGCAUAUUUUUUUCGGCCUUUAUGGGCAGAGAACUUUAAUGCCGCUCAGAAUGAGGCCACCCAGUAGUUAGGUGUGAAUUUUCGAGACCUCUGGCACCGUUCUAAGAUGGGUCCUCUCUUCGUAGGCUAAUGCAUUGGCCCUUUUUGACCCGUUUUGGGGCGAAAACAAAAACUGACUCCCGGGCAUAUUUUUUUCGGCCUUUAUGGGCAGAGAACUUUAAUGCCGCUCAGAAUGAGGCCACCCAGUAGUUAGGUGUGAAUUUUCGAGACCUCUGGCACCGUUCUAAGAUGGGUCCUCUCUUCGUAGGCUAAUGCAUUGGCCCUUUUUGACCCGUUUUGGGGCGAAAACAAAAACUGACUCCCGGGCAUAUUUUUUUCGGCCUUUAUGGGCAGAGAACUUUAAUGCCGCUCAGAAUGAGGCCACCCAGUAGUUAGGUGUGAAUUUUCGAGACCUCUGGCACCGUUCUAAGAUGGGUCCUCUCUUCGUAGGCUAAUGCAUUGGCCCUUUUUGACCCGUUUUGGGGCGAAAACAAAAACUGACUCCCGGGCAUAUUUUUUUCGGCCUUUAUGGGCAGAGAACUUUAAUGCCGCUCAGAAUGAGGCCACCCAGUAGUUAGGUGUGAAUUUUCGAGACCUCUGGCACCGUUCUAAGAUGGGUCCUCUCUUCGUAGGCUAAUGCAUUGGCCCUUUUUGACCCGUUUUGGGGCGAAAACAAAAACUGACUCCCGGGCAUAUUUUUUUCGGCCUUUUAUGGGCAGAGAACUUUAAUGCCGCUCAGAAUGAGGCCACCCAGUAGUUAGGUGUGAAUUUUCGAGACCUCUGGCACCGUUCUAAGAUGGGUCCUCUCUUCGUAGGCUAAUGCAUUGGCCCUUUUUGACCCGUUUUGGGGCGAAAACAAAAACUGACUCCCGGGCAUAUUUUUUUCGGCCUUUAUGGGCAGAGAACUUUAAUGCCGCUCAGAAUGAGGCCACCCAGUAGUUAGGUGUGAAUUUUCGAGACCUCUGGCACCGUUCUAAGAUGGGUCCUCUCUUCGUAGGCUAAUGCAUUGGCCCUUUUUGACCCGUUUUGGGGCGAAAACAAAAACUGACUCCCGGGCAUAUUUUUUUCGGCCUUUAUGGGCAGAGAACUUUAAUGCCGCUCAGAAUGAGGCCACCCAGUAGUUAGGUGUGAAUUUUCGAGACCUCUGGCACCGUUCUAAGAUGGGUCCUCUCUUCGUAGGCUAAUGCAUUGGCCCUUUUUGACCCGUUUUGGGGCGAAAACAAAAACUGACUCCCGGGCAUAUUUUUUUCGGCCUUUAUGGGCAGAGAACUUUAAUGCCGCUCAGAAUGAGGCCACCCAGUAGUUAGGUGUGAAUUUUCGAGACCUCUGGCACCGUUCUAAGAUGGGUCCUCUCUUCGUAGGCUAAUGCAUUGGCCCUUUUUGACCCGUUUUGGGGCGAAAACAAAAACUGACUCCCGGGCAUAUUUUUUUCGGCCUUUAUGGGCAGAGAACUUUAAUGCCGCUCAGAAUGAGGCCACCCAGUAGUUAGGUGUGAAUUUUCGAGACCUCUGGCACCGUUCUAAGAUGGGUCCUCUCUUCGUAGGCUAAUGCAUUGGCCCUUUUUGACCCGUUUUGGGGCGAAAAAAAAAAACUGACUCCCGGGCAUAUUUUUUUCGGCCUUUAUGGGCAGAGAACUUUAAUGCCGCUCAGAAUGAGGCCACCCAGUAGUUAGGUGUGAAUUUUCGAGACCUCUGGCACCGUUCUAAGAUGGGUCCUCUCUUCGUAGGCUAAUGCAUUGGCCCUUUUUGACCCGUUUUGGGGCGAAAACAAAAACUGACUCCCGGGCAUAUUUUUUUCGGCCUUUAUGGGCAGAGAACUUUAAUGCCGCUCAGAAUGAGGCCACCCAGUAGUUAGGUGUGAAUUUUCGAGACCUCUGGCACCGUUCUAAGAUGGGUCCUCUCUUCGUAGGCUAAUGCAUUGGCCCUUUUUGACCCGUUUUGGGGCGAAAACAAAAACUGACUCCCGGGCAUAUUUUUUUCGGCCUUUAUGGGCAGAGAACUUUAAUGCCGCUCAGAAUGAGGCCACCCAGUAGUUAGGUGUGAAUUUUCGAGACCUCUGGCACCGUUCUAAGAUGGGUCCUCUCUUCGUAGGCUAAUGCAUUGGCCCUUUUUGACCCGUUUUGGGGCGAAAACAAAAACUGACUCCCGGGCAUAUUUUUUUCGGCCUUUAUGGGCAGAGAACUUUAAUGCCGCUCAGAAUGAGGCCACCCAGUAGUUAGGUGUGAAUUUUCGAGACCUCUGGCACCGUUCUAAGAUGGGUCCUCUCUUCGUAGGCUAAUGCAUUGGCCCUUUUUGACCCGUUUUGGGGCGAAAACAAAAACUGACUCCCGGGCAUAUUUUUUUCGGCCUUUAUGGGCAGAGAACUUUAAUGCCGCUCAGAAUGAGGCCACCCAGUAGUUAGGUGUGAAUUUUCGAGACCUCUGGCACCGUUCUAAGAUGGGUCCUCUCUUCGUAGGCUAAUGCAUUGGCCCUUUUUGACCCGUUUUGGGGCGAAAACAAAAACUGACUCCCGGGCAUAUUUUUUUCGGCCUUUAUGGGCAGAGAACUUUAAUGCCGCUCAGAAUGAGGCCACCCAGUAGUUAGGUGUGAAUUUUCGAGACCUCUGGCACCGUUCUAAGAUGGGUCCUCUCUUCGUAGGCUAAUGCAUUGGCCCUUUUUGACCCGUUUUGGGGCGAAAACAAAAACUGACUCCCGGGCAUAUUUUUUUCGGCCUUUAUGGGCAGAGAACUUUAAUACCGCUCAGAAUGAGGCCACCCAGUAGUUAGGUGUGAAUUUUCGAGACCUCUGGCACCGUUCUAAGAUGGGUCCUCUCUUCGUAGGCUAAUGCAUUGGCCCUUUUUGACCCGUUUUGGGGCGAAAACAAAAACUGACUCCCGGGCAUAUUUUUUUCGGCCUUUAUGGGCAGAGAACUUUAAUGCCGCUCAGAAUGAGGCCACCCAGUAGUUAGGUGUGAAUUUUCGAGACCUCUGGCACCGUUCUAAGAUGGGUCCUCUCUUCGUAGGCUAAUGCAUUGGCCCUUUUUGACCCGUUUUGGGGCGAAAACAAAAACUGACUCCCGGGCAUAUUUUUUUCGGCCUUUAUGGGCAGAGAACUUUAAUACCGCUCAGAAUGAGGCCACCCAGUAGUUAGGUGUGAAUUUUCGAGACCUCUGGCACCGUUCUAAGAUGGGUCCUCUCUUCGUAGGCUAAUGCAUUGGCCCUUUUUGACCCGUUUUGGGGCGAAAACAAAAACUGACUCCCGGGCAUAUUUUUUUCGGCCUUUAUGGGCAGAGAACUUUAAUACCGCUCAGAAUGAGGCCACCCAGUAGUUAGGUGUGAAUUUUCGAGACCUCUGGCACCGUUCUAAGAUGGGUCCUCUCUUCGUAGGCUAAUGCAUUGGCCCUUUUUGACCCGUUUUGGGGCGAAAACAAAAACUGACUCCCGGGCAUAUUUUUUUCGGCCUUUAUGGGCAGAGAACUUUAAUACCGCUCAGAAUGAGGCCACCCAGUAGUUAGGUGUGAAUUUUCGAGACCUCUGGCACCGUUCUAAGAUGGGUCCUCUCUUCGUAGGCUAAUGCAUUGGCCCUUUUUGACCCGUUUUGGGGCGAAAACAAAAACUGACUCCCGGGCAUAUUUUUUUCGGCCUUUAUGGGCAGAGAACUUUAAUACCGCUCAGAAUGAGGCCACCCAGUAGUUAGGUGUGAAUUUUCGAGACCUCUGGCACCGUUCUAAGAUGGGUCCUCUCUUCGUAGGCUAAUGCAUUGGCCCUUUUUGACCCGUUUUGGGGCGAAAACAAAAACUGACUCCCGGGCAUAUUUUUUUCGGCCUUUAUGGGCAGAGAACUUUAAUGCCGCUCAGAAUGAGGCCACCCAGUAGUUAGGUGUGAAUUUUCGAGACCUCUGGCACCGUUCUAAGAUGGGUCCUCUCUUCGUAGGCUAAUGCAUUGGCCCUUUUUGACCCGUUUUGGGGCGAAAACAAAAACUGACUCCCGGGCAUAUUUUUUUCGGCCUUUAUGGGCAGAGAACUUUAAUACCGCUCAGAAUGAGGCCACCCAGUAGUUAGGUGUGAAUUUUCGAGACCUCUGGCACCGUUCUAAGAUGGGUCCUCUCUUCGUAGGCUAAUGCAUUGGCCCUUUUUGACCCGUUUUGGGGCGAAAACAAAAACUGACUCCCGGGCAUAUUUUUUUCGGCCUUUAUGGGCAGAGAACUUUAAUGCCGCUCAGAAUGAGGCCACCCAGUAGUUAGGUGUGAAUUUUCGAGACCUCUGGCACCGUUCUAAGAUGGGUCCUCUCUUCGUAGGCUAAUGCAUUGGCCCUUUUUGACCCGUUUUGGGGCGAAAACAAAAACUGACUCCCGGGCAUAUUUUUUUCGGCCUUUAUGGGCAGAGAACUUUAAUGCCGCUCAGAAUGAGGCCACCCAGUAGUUAGGUGUGAAUUUUCGAGACCUCUGGCACCGUUCUAAGAUGGGUCCUCUCUUCGUAGGCUAAUGCAUUGGCCCUUUUUGACCCGUUUUGGGGCGAAAACAAAAACUGACUCCCGGGCAUAUUUUUUUCGGCCUUUAUGGGCAGAGAACUUUAAUACCGCUCAGAAUGAGGCCACCCAGUAGUUAGGUGUGAAUUUUCGAGACCUCUGGCACCGUUCUAAGAUGGGUCCUCUCUUCGUAGGCUAAUGCAUUGGCCCUUUUUGACCCGUUUUGGGGCGAAAACAAAAACUGACUCCCGGGCAUAUUUUUUUCGGCCUUUAUGGGCAGAGAACUUUAAUGCCGCUCAGAAUGAGGCCACCCAGUAGUUAGGUGUGAAUUUUCGAGACCUCUGGCACCGUUCUAAGAUGGGUCCUCUCUUCGUAGGCUAAUGCAUUGGCCCUUUUUGACCCGUUUUGGGGCGAAAACAAAAACUGACUCCCGGGCAUAUUUUUUUCGGCCUUUAUGGGCAGAGAACUUUAAUGCCGCUCAGAAUGAGGCCACCCAGUAGUUAGGUGUGAAUUUUCGAGACCUCUGGCACCGUUCUAAGAUGGGUCCUCUCUUCGUAGGCUAAUGCAUUGGCCCUUUUUGACCCGUUUUGGGGCGAAAACAAAAACUGACUCCCGGGCAUAUUUUUUUCGGCCUUUAUGGGCAGAGAACUUUAAUGCCGCUCAGAAUGAGGCCACCCAGUAGUUAGGUGUGAAUUUUCGAGACCUCUGGCACCGUUCUAAGAUGGGUCCUCUCUUCGUAGGCUAAUGCAUUGGCCCUUUUUGACCCGUUUUGGGGCGAAAACAAAAACUGACUCCCGGGCAUAUUUUUUUCGGCCUUUAUGGGCAGAGAACUUUAAUGCCGCUCAGAAUGAGGCCACCCAGUAGUUAGGUGUGAAUUUUCGAGACCUCUGGCACCGUUCUAAGAUGGGUCCUCUCUUCGUAGGCUAAUGCAUUGGCCCUUUUUGACCCGUUUUGGGGCGAAAACAAAAACUGACUCCCGGGCAUAUUUUUUUCGGCCUUUAUGGGCAGAGAACUUUAAUGCCGCUCAGAAUGAGGCCACCCAGUAGUUAGGUGUGAAUUUUCGAGACCUCUGGCACCGUUCUAAGAUGGGUCCUCUCUUCGUAGGCUAAUGCAUUGGCCCUUUUUGACCCGUUUUGGGGCGAAAACAAAAACUGACUCCCGGGCAUAUUUUUUUCGGCCUUUAUGGGCAGAGAACUUUAAUGCCGCUCAGAAUGAGGCCACCCAGUAGUUAGGUGUGAAUUUUCGAGACCUCUGGCACCGUUCUAAGAUGGGUCCUCUCUUCGUAGGCUAAUGCAUUGGCCCUUUUUGACCCGUUUUGGGGCGAAAACAAAAACUGACUCCCGGGCAUAUUUUUUUCGGCCUUUAUGGGCAGAGAACUUUAAUGCCGCUCAGAAUGAGGCCACCCAGUAGUUAGGUGUGAAUUUUCGAGACCUCUGGCACCGUUCUAAGAUGGGUCCUCUCUUCGUAGGCUAAUGCAUUGGCCCUUUUUGACCCGUUUUGGGGCGAAAACAAAAACUGACUCCCGGGCAUAUUUUUUUCGGCCUUUAUGGGCAGAGAACUUUAAUGCCGCUCAGAAUGAGGCCACCCAGUAGUUAGGUGUGAAUUUUCGAGACCUCUGGCACCGUUCUAAGAUGGGUCCUCUCUUCGUAGGCUAAUGCAUUGGCCCUUUUUGACCCGUUUUGGGGCGAAAACAAAAACUGACUCCCGGGCAUAUUUUUUUCGGCCUUUAUGGGCAGAGAACUUUAAUGCCGCUCAGAAUGAGGCCACCCAGUAGUUAGGUGUGAAUUUUCGAGACCUCUGGCACCGUUCUAAGAUGGGUCCUCUCUUCGUAGGCUAAUGCAUUGGCCCUUUUUGACCCGUUUUGGGGCGAAAACAAAAACUGACUCCCGGGCAUAUUUUUUUCGGCCUUUAUGGGCAGAGAACUUUAAUGCCGCUCAGAAUGAGGCCACCCAGUAGUUAGGUGUGAAUUUUCGAGACCUCUGGCACCGUUCUAAGAUGGGUCCUCUCUUCGUAGGCUAAUGCAUUGGCCCUUUUUGACCCGUUUUGGGGCGAAAACAAAAACUGACUCCCGGGCAUAUUUUUUUCGGCCUUUAUGGGCAGAGAACUUUAAUGCCGCUCAGAAUGAGGCCACCCAGUAGUUAGGUGUGAAUUUUCGAGACCUCUGGCACCGUUCUAAGAUGGGUCCUCUCUUCGUAGGCUAAUGCAUUGGCCCUUUUUGACCCGUUUUGGGGCGAAAACAAAAACUGACUCCCGGGCAUAUUUUUUUCGGCCUUUAUGGGCAGAGAACUUUAAUACCGCUCAGAAUGAGGCCACCCAGUAGUUAGGUGUGAAUUUUCGAGACCUCUGGCACCGUUCUAAGAUGGGUCCUCUCUUCGUAGGCUAAUGCAUUGGCCCUUUUUGACCCGUUUUGGGGCGAAAACAAAAACUGACUCCCGGGCAUAUUUUUUUCGGCCUUUAUGGGCAGAGAACUUUAAUGCCGCUCAGAAUGAGGCCACCCAGUAGUUAGGUGUGAAUUUUCGAGACCUCUGGCACCGUUCUAAGAUGGGUCCUCUCUUCGUAGGCUAAUGCAUUGGCCCUUUUUGACCCGUUUUGGGGCGAAAACAAAAACUGACUCCCGGGCAUAUUUUUUUCGGCCUUUAUGGGCAGAGAACUUUAAUACCGCUCAGAAUGAGGCCACCCAGUAGUUAGGUGUGAAUUUUCGAGACCUCUGGCACCGUUCUAAGAUGGGUCCUCUCUUCGUAGGCUAAUGCAUUGGCCCUUUUUGACCCGUUUUGGGGCGAAAACAAAAACUGACUCCCGGGCAUAUUUUUUUCGGCCUUUAUGGGCAGAGAACUUUAAUGCCGCUCAGAAUGAGGCCACCCAGUAGUUAGGUGUGAAUUUUCGAGACCUCUGGCACCGUUCUAAGAUGGGUCCUCUCUUCGUAGGCUAAUGCAUUGGCCCUUUUUGACCCGUUUUGGGGCGAAAACAAAAACUGACUCCCGGGCAUAUUUUUUUCGGCCUUUAUGGGCAGAGAACUUUAAUGCCGCUCAGAAUGAGGCCACCCAGUAGUUAGGUGUGAAUUUUCGAGACCUCUGGCACCGUUCUAAGAUGGGUCCUCUCUUCGUAGGGCUAAUGCAUUGGCCCUUUUUGACCCGUUUUGGGGCGAAAACAAAAACUGACUCCCGGGCAUAUUUUUUUCGGCCUUUAUGGGCAGAGAACUUUAAUACCGCUCAGAAUGAGGCCACCCAGUAGUUAGGUGUGAAUUUUCGAGACCUCUGGCACCGUUCUAAGAUGGGUCCUCUCUUCGUAGGCUAAUGCAUUGGCCCUUUUUGACCCGUUUUGGGGCGAAAACAAAAACUGACUCCCGGGCAUAUUUUUUUCGGCCUUUAUGGGCAGAGAACUUUAAUGCCGCUCAGAAUGAGGCCACCCAGUAGUUAGGUGUGAAUUUUCGAGACCUCUGGCACCGUUCUAAGAUGGGUCCUCUCUUCGUAGGCUAAUGCAUUGGCCCUUUUUGACCCGUUUUGGGGCGAAAACCAAAAACUGACUCCCGGGCAUAUUUUUUUCGGCCUUUAUGGGCAGAGAACUUUAAUACCGCUCAGAAUGAGGCCACCACCCAGUAGUUAGGUGUGAAUUUUCGAGACCUCUGGCACCGUUCUAAGAUGGGUCCUCUCUUCGUAGGCUAAUGCAUUGGCCCUUUUUGACCCGUUUUGGGGCGAAAACAAAAACUGACUCCCGGGCAUAUUUUUUUCGGCCUUUAUGGGCAGAGAAACUUUAAUGCCGCUCAGAAUGAGGCCACCCAGUAGUUAGGUGUGAAUUUUCGAGACCUCUGGCACCGUUCUAAGAUGGGUCCUCUCUUCGUAGGCUAAUGCAUUGGCCCUUUUUGACCCGUUUUGGGGCGAAAACAAAAACUGACUCCCGGGCAUAUUUUUUUCGGCCUUUAUGGGCAGAGAACUUUAAUACCGCUCAGAAUGAGGCCACCCAGUAGUUAGGUGUGAAUUUUCGAGACCUCUGGCACCGUUCUAAGAUGGGUCCUCUCUUCGUAGGCUAAUGCAUUGGCCCUUUUUGACCCGUUUUGGGGCGAAAACAAAAACUGACUCCCGGGCAUAUUUUUUUCGGCCUUUAUGGGCAAAGAACUUUAAUGCCGCUCAGAAUGAGGCCACCCAGUAGUUAGGUGUGAAUUUUCGAGACCUCUGGCACCGUUCUAAGAUGGGUCCUCUCUUCGUAGGCUAAUGCAUUGGCCCUUUUUGACCCGUUUUGGGGCGAAAAACAAAAACUGACUCCCGGGCAUAUUUUUUUCGGCCUUUAUGGGCAAAGAACUUUAAUGCCGCUCAGAAUGAGGCCACCCAGUAGUUAGGUGUGAAUUUUCGAGACCUCUGGCACCGUUCUAAGAUGGGUCCUCUCUUCGUAGGCUAAUGCAUUGGCCCUUUUUGACCCGUUUUGGGGCGAAAACAAAAAACUGACUCCCGGGCAUAUUUUUUUCGGCCUUUAUGGGCAGAGAACUUUAAUGCCGCUCAGAAUGAGGCCACCCAGUAGUUAGGUGUGAAUUUUCGAGACCUCUGGCACCGUUCUAAGAUGGGUCCUCUCUUCGUAGGCUAAUGCAUUGGCCCUUUUUGACCCGUUUUGGGGCGAAAACAAAAACUGACUCCCGGGCAUAUUUUUUUCGGCCUUUAUGGGCAGAGAACUUUAAUACCGCUCAGAAUGAGGCCACCCAGUAGUUAGGUGUGAAUUUUCGAGACCUCUGGCACCGUUCUAAGAUGGGUCCUCUCUUCGUAGGCUAAUGCAUUGGCCCUUUUUGACCCGUUUUGGGGCGAAAACAAAAACUGACUCCCGGGCAUAUUUUUUUCGGCCUUUAUGGGCAGAGAACUUUAAUACCGCUCAGAAUGAGGCCACCCAGUAGUUAGGUGUGAAUUUUCGAGACCCUCUGGCACCGUUCUAAGAUGGGUCCUCUCUUCGUAGGCUAAUGCAUUGGCCCUUUUUGACCCGUUUUGGGGCGAAAACAAAAACUGACUCCCGGGCAUAUUUUUUUCGGCCUUUAUGGGCAGAGAACUUUAAUACCGCUCAGAAUGAGGCCACCCAGUAGUUAGGUGUGAAUUUUCGAGACCUCUUGGCACCGUUCUAAGAUGGGUCCUCUCUUCGUAGGCUAAUGCAUUGGCCCUUUUUGACCCGUUUUGGGGCGAAAACAAAAACUGACUCCCGGGCAUAUUUUUUUCGGCCUUUAUGGGCAGAGAACUUUAAUGCCGCUCAGAAUGAGGCCACCCAGUAGUUAGGUGUGAAUUUUCGAGACCUCUGGCACCGUUCUAAGAUGGGUCCUCUCUUCGUAGGCUAAUGCAUUGGCCCUUUUUGACCCGUUUUGGGGCGAAAACAAAAACUGACUCCCGGGCAUAUUUUUUUCGGCCUUUAUGGGCAGAGAACUUUAAUACCGCUCAAAAAUGAGGCCACCCAGUAGUUAGGUGUGAAUUUUCGAGACCUCUGGCACCGUUCUAAGAUGGGUCCUCUCUUCGUAGGCUAAUGCAUUGGCCCUUUUUGACCCGUUUUGGGGCGAAAACAAAAACUGACUCCCGGGCAUAUUUUUUUCGGCCUUUAUGGGCAGAGAACUUUAAUACCGCUCAGAAUGAGGCCACCCAGUAGUUAGGUGUGAAUUUUCGAGACCUUUGGCACCGUUCUAAGAUGGGUCCUCUCUUCGUAGGCUAAUGCAUUGGCCCUUUUUGACCCGUUUUGGGGCGAAAACAAAAACUGACUCCCGGGCAUAUUUUUUUCGGCCUUUAUGGGCAGAGAACUUUAAUGCCGCUCAGAAUGAGGCCACCCAGUAGUUAGGUGUGAAUUUUCGAGACCUCUGGCACCGUUCUAAGAUGGGUCCUCUCUUCGUAGGCUAAUGCAUUGGCCCUUUUUGACCCGUUUUGGGGCGAAAACAAAAACUGACUCCCGGGCAUAUUUUUUUCGGCCUUUAUGGGCAGAGAACUUUAAUGCCGCUCAGAAUGAGGCCACCCAGUAGUUAGGUGUGAAUUUUCGAGACCUCUGGCACCGUUCUAAGAUGGGUCCUCUCUUCGUAGGCUAAUGCAUUGGCCCUUUUUGACCCGUUUUGGGGCGAAAACAAAAACUGACUCCCGGGCAUAUUUUUUUCGGCCUUUAUGGGCAGAGAACUUUAAUACCGCUCAGAAUGAGGCCACCCAGUAGUUAGGUGUGAAUUUUCGAGACCUCUGGCACCGUUCUAAGAUGGGUCCUCUCUUCGUAGGCUAAUGCAUUGGCCCUUUUUGACCCGUUUUGGGGCGAAAACAAAAACUGACUCCCGGGCAUAUUUUUUUCGGCCUUUAUGGGCAGAGAACUUUAAUACCGCUCAGAAUGAGGCCACCCAGUAGUUAGGUGUGAAUUUUCGAGACCUCUGGCACCGUUCUAAGAUGGGUCCUCUCUUCGUAGGCUAAUGCAUUGGCCCUUUUUGACCCGUUUUGGGGCGAAAACAAAAACUGACUCCCGGGCAUAUUUUUUUCGGCCUUUAUGGGCAGAGAACUUUAAUACCGCUCAGAAUGAGGCCACCCAGUAGUUAGGUGUGAAUUUUCGAGACCUUCUGGCACCGUUCUAAGAUGGGUCCUCUCUUCGUAGGCUAAUGCAUUGGCCCUUUUUGACCCGUUUUGGGGCGAAAACAAAAACUGACUCCCGGGCAUAUUUUUUUCGGCCUUUAUGGGCAGAGAACUUUAAUGCCGCUCAGAAUGAGGCCACCCAGUAGUUAGGUGUGAAUUUUCGAGACCUCUGGCACCGUUCUAAGAUGGGUCCUCUCUUCGUAGGCUAAUGCAUUGGCCCUUUUUGACCCGUUUUGGGGCGAAAACAAAAACUGACUCCCGGGCAUAUUUUUUUCGGCCUUUAUGGGCAGAGAACUUUAAUACCGCUCAGAAUGAGGCCACCCAGUAGUUAGGUGUGAAUUUUCGAGACCUCUGGCACCGUUCUAAGAUGGGUCCUCUCUUCGUAGGCUAAUGCAUUGGCCCUUUUUGACCCGUUUUGGGGCGAAAACAAAAACUGACUCCCGGGCAUAUUUUUUUCGGCCUUUAUGGGCAGAGAACUUUAAUACCGCUCAGAAUGAGGCCACCCAGUAGUUAGGUGUGAAUUUUCGAGACCUCUGGCACCGUUCUAAGAUGGGUCCUCUCUUCGUAGGCUAAUGCAUUGGCCCUUUUUGACCCGUUUUGGGGCGAAAACAAAAACUGACUCCCGGGCAUAUUUUUUUCGGCCUUUAUGGGCAGAGAACUUUAAUGCCGCUCAGAAUGAGGCCACCCAGUAGUUAGGUGUGAAUUUUCGAGACCUCUGGCACCGUUCUAAGAUGGGUCCUCUCUUCGUAGGCUAAUGCAUUGGCCCUUUUUGACCCGUUUUGGGGCGAAAACAAAAACUGACUCCCGGGCAUAUUUUUUUCGGCCUUUAUGGGCAGAGAACUUUAAUACCGCUCAGAAAUGAGGCCACCCAGUAGUUAGGUGUGAAUUUUCGAGACCUCUGGCACCGUUCUAAGAUGGGUCCUCUCUUCGUAGGCUAAUGCAUUGGCCCUUUUUGACCCGUUUUGGGGCGAAAACAAAAACUGACUCCCGGGCAUAUUUUUUUCGGCCUUUAUGGGCAGAGAACUUUAAUACCGCUCAGAAUGAGGCCACCCAGUAGUUAGGUGUGAAUUUUCGAGACCUCUCGGCACCGUUCUAAGAUGGGUCCUCUCUUCGUAGGCUAAUGCAUUGGCCCUUUUUGACCCGUUUUGGGGCGAAAACAAAAACUGACUCCCGGGCAUAUUUUUUUCGGCCUUUAUGGGCAGAGAACUUUAAUGCCGCUCAGAAAUGAGGCCACCCAGUAGUUAGGUGUGAAUUUUCGAGACCUCUGGCACCGUUCUAAGAUGGGUCCUCUCUUCGUAGGCUAAUGCAUUGGCCCUUUUUGACCCGUUUUGGGGCGAAAACAAAAACUGACUCCCGGGCAUAUUUUUUUCGGCCUUUAUGGGCAGAGAACUUUAAUACCGCUCAGAAUGAGGCCACCCAGUAGUUAGGUGUGAAUUUUCGAGACCUCUGGCACCGUUCUAAGAUGGGUCCUCUCUUCGUAGGCUAAUGCAUUGGCCCUUUUUGACCCGUUUUGGGGCGAAAACAAAAACUGACUCCCGGGCAUAUUUUUUUCGGCCUUUAUGGGCAGAGAACUUUAAUACCGCUCAGAAUGAGGCCACCCAGUAGUUAGGUGUGAAUUUUCGAGACCUCUUGGCACCGUUCUAAGAUGGGUCCUCUCUUCGUAGGCUAAUGCAUUGGCCCUUUUUGACCCGUUUUGGGGCGAAAACAAAAACUGACUCCCGGGCAUAUUUUUUUCGGCCUUUAUGGGCAGAGAACUUUAAUGCCGCUCAGAAUGAGGCCACCCAGUAGUUAGGUGUGAAUUUUCGAGACCUCUGGCACCGUUCUAAGAUGGGUCCUCUCUUCGUAGGCUAAUGCAUUGGCCCUUUUUGACCCGUUUUGGGGCGAAAACAAAAACUGACUCCCGGGCAUAUUUUUUUCGGCCUUUAUGGGCAGAGAACUUUAAUGCCGCUCAGAAUGAGGCCACCCAGUAGUUAGGUGUGAAUUUUCGAGACCUUUGGCACCGUUCUAAGAUGGGUCCUCUCUUCGUAGGCUAAUGCAUUGGCCCUUUUUGACCCGUUUUGGGGCGAAAACAAAAACUGACUCCCGGGCAUAUUUUUUUCGGCCUUUAUGGGCAGAGAACUUUAAUACCGCUCAGAAUGAGGCCACCCAGUAGUUAGGUGUGAAUUUUCGAGACCUCUGGCACCGUUCUAAGAUGGGUCCUCUCUUCGUAGGCUAAUGCAUUGGCCCUUUUUGACCCGUUUUGGGGCGAAAACAAAAACUGACUCCCGGGCAUAUUUUUUUCGGCCUUUAUGGGCAGAGAACUUUAAUGCCGCUCAGAAUGAGGCCACCCAGUAGUUAGGUGUGAAUUUUCGAGACCUCUGGCACCGUUCUAAGAUGGGUCCUCUCUUCGUAGGCUAAUGCAUUGGCCCUUUUUGACCCGUUUUGGGGCGAAAACAAAAACUGACUCCCGGGCAUAUUUUUUUCGGCCUUUAUGGGCAGAGAACUUUAAUACCGCUCAGAAUGAGGCCACCCAGUAGUUAGGUGUGAAUUUUCGAGACCUCUGGCACCGUUCUAAGAUGGGUCCUCUCUUCGUAGGCUAAUGCAUUGGCCCUUUUUGACCCGUUUUGGGGCGAAAACAAAAACUGACUCCCGGGCAUAUUUUUUUCGGCCUUUAUGGGCAGAGAACUCUUAAUAGCCGCUCAGAAAUGGCCAGGCCACCCAGUAGUUAGGUGUGAAUUUUCGAGACCUCUGGCACCGUUCUAAGAUGGGUCCUCUCUUCGUAGGCUAAUGCAUUGGCCCUUUUUGACCCGUUUUGGGGCGAAAACAAAAACUGACUCCCGGGCAUAUUUUUUUCGGCCUUUAUGGGCAGAGAACUUUAAUGCCGCUCAGAAUGAGGCCACCCAGUAGUUAGGUGUGAAUUUUCGAGACCUCUGGCACCGUUCUAAGAUGGGUCCUCUCUUCGUAGGCUAAUGCAUUGGCCCUUUUUGACCCGUUUUGGGGCGAAAACAAAAACUGACUCCCGGGCAUAUUUUUUUCGGCCUUUAUGGGCAGAGAACUUUAAUGCCGCUCAGAAUGAGGCCACCCAGUAGUUAGGUGUGAAUUUUCGAGACCUUUGGCACCGUUCUAAGAUGGGUCCUCUCUUCGUAGGCUAAUGCAUUGGCCCUUUUUGACCCGUUUUGGGGCGAAAACAAAAACUGACUCCCGGGCAUAUUUUUUUCGGCCUUUAUGGGCAGAGAACUUUAAUGCCGCUCAGAAUGAGGCCACCCAGUAGUUAGGUGUGAAUUUUCGAGACCUCUGGCACCGUUCUAAGAUGGGUCCUCUCUUCGUAGGCUAAUGCAUUGGCCCUUUUUGACCCGUUUUGGGGCGAAAACAAAAACUGACUCCCGGGCAUAUUUUUUUCGGCCUUUAUGGGCAGAGAACUUUAAUACCGCUCAGAAUGAGGCCACCCAGUAGUUAGGUGUGAAUUUUCGAGACCUUUGGCACCGUUCUAAGAUGGGUCCUCUCUUCGUAGGCUAAUGCAUUGGCCCUUUUUGACCCGUUUUGGGGCGAAAACAAAAACUGACUCCCGGGCAUAUUUUUUUCGGCCUUUAUGGGCAGAGAACUUUAAUACCGCUCAGAAUGAGGCCACCCAGUAGUUAGGUGUGAAUUUUCGAGACCUCUGGCACCGUUCUAAGAUGGGUCCUCUCUUCGUAGGCUAAUGCAUUGGCCCUUUUUGACCCGUUUUGGGGCGAAAACAAAAACUGACUCCCGGGCAUAUUUUUUUCGGCCUUUAUGGGCAGAGAACUUUAAUGCCGCUCAGAAUGAGGCCACCCAGUAGUUAGGUGUGAAUUUUCGAGACCUUUGGCCACCGUUCUAAGAUGGGUCCUCUCUUCGUAGGCUAAUGCAUUGGCCCUUUUUGACCCGUUUUGGGGCGAAAACAAAAACUGACUCCCGGGCAUAUUUUUUUCGGCCUUUAUGGGCAGAGAACUUUAAUACCGCUCAGAAUGAGGCCACCCAGUAGUUAGGUGUGAAUUUUCGAGACCUUUGGCACCGUUCUAAGAUGGGUCCUCUCUUCGUAGGCUAAUGCAUUGGCCCUUUUUGACCCGUUUUGGGGCGAAAACAAAAACUGACUCCCGGGCAUAUUUUUUUCGGCCUUUAUGGGCAGAGAACUUUAAUACCGCUCAGAAUGAGGCCACCCAGUAGUUAGGUGUGAAUUUUCGAGACCUUCUGGCACCGUUCUAAGAUGGGUCCUCUCUUCGUAGGCUAAUGCAUUGGCCCUUUUUGACCCGUUUUGGGGCGAAAACAAAAACUGACUCCCGGGCAUAUUUUUUUCGGCCUUUAUGGGCAGAGAACUUUAAUGCCGCUCAGAAUGAGGCCACCCAGUAGUUAGGUGUGAAUUUUCGAGACCUCUGGCACCGUUCUAAGAUGGGUCCUCUCUUCGUAGGCUAAUGCAUUGGCCCUUUUUGACCCGUUUUGGGGCGAAAACAAAAACUGACUCCCGGGCAUAUUUUUUUCGGCCUUUAUGGGCAGAGAACUUUAAUACCGCUCAGAAUGAGGCCACCCAGUAGUUAGGUGUGAAUUUUCGAGACCUUUGGCACCGUUCUAAGAUGGGUCCUCUCUUCGUAGGCUAAUGCAUUGGCCCUUUUUGACCCGUUUUGGGGCGAAAACAAAAACUGACUCCCGGGCAUAUUUUUUUCGGCCUUUAUGGGCAGAGAACUUUAAUGCCGCUCAGAAUGAGGCCACCCAGUAGUUAGGUGUGAAUUUUCGAGACCUUUGGCACCGUUCUAAGAUGGGUCCUCUCUUCGUAGGCUAAUGCAUUGGCCCUUUUUGACCCGUUUUGGGGCGAAAACAAAAACUGACUCCCGGGCAUAUUUUUUUCGGCCUUUAUGGGCAGAGAACUUUAAUACCGCUCAAAAUGAGGCCACCCAGUAGUUAGGUGUGAAUUUUCGAGACCUCUGGCACCGUUCUAAGAUGGGUCCUCUCUUCGUAGGCUAAUGCAUUGGCCCUUUUUGACCCGUUUUGGGGCGAAAACAAAAACUGACUCCCGGGCAUAUUUUUUUCGGCCUUUAUGGGCAGAGAACUUUAAUACCGCUCAAAAUGAGGCCACCCAGUAGUUAGGUGUGAAUUUUCGAGACCUUUGGCACCGUUCUAAGAUGGGUCCUCUCUUCGUAGGCUAAUGCAUUGGCCCUUUUUGACCCGUUUUGGGGCGAAAACAAAAACUGACUCCCGGGCAUAUUUUUUUCGGCCUUUAUGGGCAGAGAACUUUAAUGCCGCUCAGAAUGAGGCCACCCAGUAGUUAGGUGUGAAUUUUCGAGACCUUUGGCACCGUUCUAAGAUGGGUCCUCUCUUCGUAGGCUAAUGCAUUGGCCCUUUUUGACCCGUUUUGGGGCGAAAACAAAAACUGACUCCCGGGCAUAUUUUUUUCGGCCUUUAUGGGCAGAGAACUUUAAUACCGCUCAAAAUGAGGCCACCCAGUAGUUAGGUGUGAAUUUUCGAGACCUUUGGCACCGUUCUAAGAUGGGUCCUCUCUUCGUAGGCUAAUGCAUUGGCCCUUUUUGACCCGUUUUGGGGCGAAAACAAAAACUGACUCCCGGGCAUAUUUUUUUCGGCCUUUAUGGGCAGAGAACUUUAAUACCGCUCAAAAUGAGGCCACCCAGUAGUUAGGUGUGAAUUUUCGAGACCUUUGGCACCGUUCUAAGAUGGGUCCUCUCUUCGUAGGCUAAUGCAUUGGCCCUUUUUGACCCGUUUUGGGGCGAAAACAAAAACUGACUCCCGGGCAUAUUUUUUUCGGCCUUUAUGGGCAGAGAACUUUAAUACCGCUCAAAAUGAGGCCACCCAGUAGUUAGGUGUGAAUUUUCGAGACCUCUGGCACCGUUCUAAGAUGGGUCCUCUCUUCGUAGGCUAAUGCAUUGGCCCUUUUUGACCCGUUUUGGGGCGAAAACAAAAACUGACUCCCGGGCAUAUUUUUUUCGGCCUUUAUGGGCAGAGAACUUUAAUGCCGCUCAAAAUGAGGCCACCCAGUAGUUAGGUGUGAAUUUUCGAGACCUCUGGCACCGUUCUAAGAUGGGUCCUCUCUUCGUAGGCUAAUGCAUUGGCCCUUUUUGACCCGUUUUGGGGCGAAAACAAAAACUGACUCCCGGGCAUAUUUUUUUCGGCCUUUAUGGGCAGAGAACUUUAAUACCGCUCAGAAUGAGGCCACCCAGUAGUUAGGUGUGAAUUUUCGAGACCUUUGGCACCGUUCUAAGAUGGGUCCUCUCUUCGUAGGCUAAUGCAUUGGCCCUUUUUGACCCGUUUUGGGGCGAAAACAAAAACUGACUCCCGGGCAUAUUUUUUUCGGCCUUUAUGGGCAGAGAACUUUAAUACCGCUCAAAAUGAGGCCACCCAGUAGUUAGGUGUGAAUUUUCGAGACCUUUGGCACCGUUCUAAGAUGGGUCCUCUCUUCGUAGGCUAAUGCAUUGGCCCUUUUUGACCCGUUUUGGGGCGAAAACAAAAACUGACUCCCGGGCAUAUUUUUUUCGGCCUUUAUGGGCAGAGAACUUUAAUACCGCUCAAAAUGAGGCCACCCAGUAGUUAGGUGUGAAUUUUCGAGACCUUUGGCACCGUUCUAAGAUGGGUCCUCUCUUCGUAGGCUAAUGCAUUGGCCCUUUUUGACCCGUUUUGGGGCGAAAACAAAAACUGACUCCCGGGCAUAUUUUUUUCGGCCUUUAUGGGCAGAGAACUUUAAUACCGCUCAAAAUGAGGCCACCCAGUAGUUAGGUGUGAAUUUUCGAGACCUUUGGCACCGUUCUAAGAUGGGUCCUCUCUUCGUAGGCUAAUGCAUUGGCCCUUUUUGACCCGUUUUGGGGCGAAAACAAAAACUGACUCCCGGGCAUAUUUUUUUCGGCCUUUAUGGGCAGAGAACUUUAAUACCGCUCAAAAUGAGGCCACCCAGUAGUUAGGUGUGAAUUUUCGAGACCUUUGGCACCGUUCUAAGAUGGGUCCUCUCUUCGUAGGCUAAUGCAUUGGCCCUUUUUGACCCGUUUUGGGGCGAAAACAAAAACUGACUCCCGGGCAUAUUUUUUUCGGCCUUUAUGGGCAGAGAACUUUAAUACCGCUCAAAAUGAGGCCACCCAGUAGUUAGGUGUGAAUUUUCGAGACCUUUGGCACCGUUCUAAGAUGGGUCCUCUCUUCGUAGGCUAAUGCAUUGGCCCUUUUUGACCCGUUUUGGGGCGAAAACAAAAACUGACUCCCGGGCAUAUUUUUUUCGGCCUUUAUGGGCAGAGAACUUUAAUACCGCUCAAAAUGAGGCCACCCAGUAGUUAGGUGUGAAUUUUCGAGACCUUUGGCACCGUUCUAAGAUGGGUCCUCUCUUCGUAGGCUAAUGCAUUGGCCCUUUUUGACCCGUUUUGGGGCGAAAACAAAAACUGACUCCCGGGCAUAUUUUUUUCGGCCUUUAUGGGCAGAGAACUUUAAUACCGCUCAAAAUGAGGCCACCCAGUAGUUAGGUGUGAAUUUUCGAGACCUUUGGCACCGUUCUAAGAUGGGUCCUCUCUUCGUAGGCUAAUGCAUUGGCCCUUUUUGACCCGUUUUGGGGCGAAAACAAAAACUGACUCCCGGGCAUAUUUUUUUCGGCCUUUAUGGGCAGAGAACUUUAAUACCGCUCAAAAUGAGGCCACCCAGUAGUUAGGUGUGAAUUUUCGAGACCUUUGGCACCGUUCUAAGAUGGGUCCUCUCUUCGUAGGCUAAUGCAUUGGCCCUUUUUGACCCGUUUUGGGGCGAAAACAAAAACUGACUCCCGGGCAUAUUUUUUUCGGCCUUUAUGGGCAGAGAACUUUAAUACCGCUCAAAAUGAGGCCACCCAGUAGUUAGGUGUGAAUUUUCGAGACCUUUGGCACCGUUCUAAGAUGGGUCCUCUCUUCGUAGGCUAAUGCAUUGGCCCUUUUUGACCCGUUUUGGGGCGAAAACAAAAACUGACUCCCGGGCAUAUUUUUUUCGGCCUUUAUGGGCAGAGAACUUUAAUACCGCUCAAAAUGAGGCCACCCAGUAGUUAGGUGUGAAUUUUCGAGACCUUUGGCACCGUUCUAAGAUGGGUCCUCUCUUCGUAGGCUAAUGCAUUGGCCCUUUUUGACCCGUUUUGGGGCGAAAACAAAAACUGACUCCCGGGCAUAUUUUUUUCGGCCUUUAUGGGCAGAGAACUUUAAUACCGCUCAAAAUGAGGCCACCCAGUAGUUAGGUGUGAAUUUUCGAGACCUUUGGCACCGUUCUAAGAUGGGUCCUCUCUUCGUAGGCUAAUGCAUUGGCCCUUUUUGACCCGUUUUGGGGCGAAAACAAAAACUGACUCCCGGGCAUAUUUUUUUCGGCCUUUAUGGGCAGAGAACUUUAAUACCGCUCAAAAUGAGGCCACCCAGUAGUUAGGUGUGAAUUUUCGAGACCUUUGGCACCGUUCUAAGAUGGGUCCUCUCUUCGUAGGCUAAUGCAUUGGCCCUUUUUGACCCGUUUUGGGGCGAAAACAAAAACUGACUCCCGGGCAUAUUUUUUUCGGCCUUUAUGGGCAGAGAACUUUAAUACCGCUCAAAAUGAGGCCACCCAGUAGUUAGGUGUGAAUUUUCGAGACCUUUGGCACCGUUCUAAGAUGGGUCCUCUCUUCGUAGGCUAAUGCAUUGGCCCUUUUUGACCCGUUUUGGGGCGAAAACAAAAACUGACUCCCGGGCAUAUUUUUUUCGGCCUUUAUGGGCAGAGAACUUUAAUACCGCUCAAAAUGAGGCCACCCAGUAGUUAGGUGUGAAUUUUCGAGACCUUUGGCACCGUUCUAAGAUGGGUCCUCUCUUCGUAGGCUAAUGCAUUGGCCCUUUUUGACCCGUUUUGGGGCGAAAACAAAAACUGACUCCCGGGCAUAUUUUUUUCGGCCUUUAUGGGCAGAGAACUUUAAUACCGCUCAAAAUGAGGCCACCCAGUAGUUAGGUGUGAAUUUUCGAGACCUUUGGCACCGUUCUAAGAUGGGUCCUCUCUUCGUAGGCUAAUGCAUUGGCCCUUUUUGACCCGUUUUGGGGCGAAAACAAAAACUGACUCCCGGGCAUAUUUUUUUCGGCCUUUAUGGGCAGAGAACUUUAAUACCGCUCAAAAUGAGGCCACCCAGUAGUUAGGUGUGAAUUUUCGAGACCUUUGGCACCGUUCUAAGAUGGGUCCUCUCUUCGUAGGCUAAUGCAUUGGCCCUUUUUGACCCGUUUUGGGGCGAAAACAAAAACUGACUCCCGGGCAUAUUUUUUUCGGCCUUUAUGGGCAGAGAACUUUAAUACCGCUCAAAAUGAGGCCACCCAGUAGUUAGGUGUGAAUUUUCGAGACCUUUGGCACCGUUCUAAGAUGGGUCCUCUCUUCGUAGGCUAAUGCAUUGGCCCUUUUUGACCCGUUUUGGGGCGAAAACAAAAACUGACUCCCGGGCAUAUUUUUUUCGGCCUUUAUGGGCAGAGAACUUUAAUACCGCUCAAAAUGAGGCCACCCAGUAGUUAGGUGUGAAUUUUCGAGACCUUUGGCACCGUUCUAAGAUGGGUCCUCUCUUCGUAGGCUAAUGCAUUGGCCCUUUUUGACCCGUUUUGGGGCGAAAACAAAAACUGACUCCCGGGCAUAUUUUUUUCGGCCUUUAUGGGCAGAGAACUUUAAUACCGCUCAAAAUGAGGCCACCCAGUAGUUAGGUGUGAAUUUUCGAGACCUUUGGCACCGUUCUAAGAUGGGUCCUCUCUUCGUAGGCUAAUGCAUUGGCCCUUUUUGACCCGUUUUGGGGCGAAAACAAAAACUGACUCCCGGGCAUAUUUUUUUCGGCCUUUAUGGGCAGAGAACUUUAAUACCGCUCAAAAUGAGGCCACCCAGUAGUUAGGUGUGAAUUUUCGAGACCUUUGGCACCGUUCUAAGAUGGGUCCUCUCUUCGUAGGCUAAUGCAUUGGCCCUUUUUGACCCGUUUUGGGGCGAAAACAAAAACUGACUCCCGGGCAUAUUUUUUUCGGCCUUUAUGGGCAGAGAACUUUAAUACCGCUCAAAAUGAGGCCACCCAGUAGUUAGGUGUGAAUUUUCGAGACCUUUGGCACCGUUCUAAGAUGGGUCCUCUCUUCGUAGGCUAAUGCAUUGGCCCUUUUUGACCCGUUUUGGGGCGAAAACAAAAACUGACUCCCGGGCAUAUUUUUUUCGGCCUUUAUGGGCAGAGAACUUUAAUACCGCUCAAAAUGAGGCCACCCAGUAGUUAGGUGUGAAUUUUCGAGACCUUUGGCACCGUUCUAAGAUGGGUCCUCUCUUCGUAGGCUAAUGCAUUGGCCCUUUUUGACCCGUUUUGGGGCGAAAACAAAAACUGACUCCCGGGCAUAUUUUUUUCGGCCUUUAUGGGCAGAGAACUUUAAUACCGCUCAAAAUGAGGCCACCCAGUAGUUAGGUGUGAAUUUUCGAGACCUUUGGCACCGUUCUAAGAUGGGUCCUCUCUUCGUAGGCUAAUGCAUUGGCCCUUUUUGACCCGUUUUGGGGCGAAAACAAAAACUGACUCCCGGGCAUAUUUUUUUCGGCCUUUAUGGGCAGAGAACUUUAAUACCGCUCAAAAUGAGGCCACCCAGUAGUUAGGUGUGAAUUUUCGAGACCUUUGGCACCGUUCUAAGAUGGGUCCUCUCUUCGUAGGCUAAUGCAUUGGCCCUUUUUGACCCGUUUUGGGGCGAAAACAAAAACUGACUCCCGGGCAUAUUUUUUUCGGCCUUUAUGGGCAGAGAACUUUAAUACCGCUCAAAAUGAGGCCACCCAGUAGUUAGGUGUGAAUUUUCGAGACCUUUGGCACCGUUCUAAGAUGGGUCCUCUCUUCGUAGGCUAAUGCAUUGGCCCUUUUUGACCCGUUUUGGGGCGAAAACAAAAACUGACUCCCGGGCAUAUUUUUUUCGGCCUUUAUGGGCAGAGAACUUUAAUACCGCUCAAAAUGAGGCCACCCAGUAGUUAGGUGUGAAUUUUCGAGACCUUUGGCACCGUUCUAAGAUGGGUCCUCUCUUCGUAGGCUAAUGCAUUGGCCCUUUUUGACCCGUUUUGGGGCGAAAACAAAAACUGACUCCCGGGCAUAUUUUUUUCGGCCUUUAUGGGCAGAGAACUUUAAUACCGCUCAAAAUGAGGCCACCCAGUAGUUAGGUGUGAAUUUUCGAGACCUUUGGCACCGUUCUAAGAUGGGUCCUCUCUUCGUAGGCUAAUGCAUUGGCCCUUUUUGACCCGUUUUGGGGCGAAAACAAAAACUGACUCCCGGGCAUAUUUUUUUCGGCCUUUAUGGGCAGAGAACUUUAAUACCGCUCAAAAUGAGGCCACCCAGUAGUUAGGUGUGAAUUUUCGAGACCUUUGGCACCGUUCUAAGAUGGGUCCUCUCUUCGUAGGCUAAUGCAUUGGCCCUUUUUGACCCGUUUUGGGGCGAAAACAAAAACUGACUCCCGGGCAUAUUUUUUUCGGCCUUUAUGGGCAGAGAACUUUAAUACCGCUCAAAAUGAGGCCACCCAGUAGUUAGGUGUGAAUUUUCGAGACCUUUGGCACCGUUCUAAGAUGGGUCCUCUCUUCGUAGGCUAAUGCAUUGGCCCUUUUUGACCCGUUUUGGGGCGAAAACAAAAACUGACUCCCGGGCAUAUUUUUUUCGGCCUUUAUGGGCAGAGAACUUUAAUACCGCUCAAAAUGAGGCCACCCAGUAGUUAGGUGUGAAUUUUCGAGACCUUUGGCACCGUUCUAAGAUGGGUCCUCUCUUCGUAGGCUAAUGCAUUGGCCCUUUUUGACCCGUUUUGGGGCGAAAACAAAAACUGACUCCCGGGCAUAUUUUUUUCGGCCUUUAUGGGCAGAGAACUUUAAUACCGCUCAAAAUGAGGCCACCCAGUAGUUAGGUGUGAAUUUUCGAGACCUUUGGCACCGUUCUAAGAUGGGUCCUCUCUUCGUAGGCUAAUGCAUUGGCCCUUUUUGACCCGUUUUGGGGCGAAAACAAAAACUGACUCCCGGGCAUAUUUUUUUCGGCCUUUAUGGGCAGAGAACUUUAAUACCGCUCAAAAUGAGGCCACCCAGUAGUUAGGUGUGAAUUUUCGAGACCUUUGGCACCGUUCUAAGAUGGGUCCUCUCUUCGUAGGCUAAUGCAUUGGCCCUUUUUGACCCGUUUUGGGGCGAAAACAAAAACUGACUCCCGGGCAUAUUUUUUUCGGCCUUUAUGGGCAGAGAACUUUAAUACCGCUCAAAAUGAGGCCACCCAGUAGUUAGGUGUGAAUUUUCGAGACCUUUGGCACCGUUCUAAGAUGGGUCCUCUCUUCGUAGGCUAAUGCAUUGGCCCUUUUUGACCCGUUUUGGGGCGAAAACAAAAACUGACUCCCGGGCAUAUUUUUUUCGGCCUUUAUGGGCAGAGAACUUUAAUACCGCUCAAAAUGAGGCCACCCAGUAGUUAGGUGUGAAUUUUCGAGACCUCUUGGCACCGUUCUAAGAUGGGUCCUCUCUUCGUAGGCUAAUGCAUUGGCCCUUUUUGACCCGUUUUGGGGCGAAAACAAAAACUGACUCCCGGGCAUAUUUUUUUCGGCCUUUAUGGGCAGAGAACUUUAAUACCGCUCAAAAUGAGGCCACCCAGUAGUUAGGUGUGAAUUUUCGAGACCUCUGGCACCGUUCUAAGAUGGGUCCUCUCUUCGUAGGCUAAUGCAUUGGCCCUUUUUGACCCGUUUUGGGGCGAAAACAAAAACUGACUCCCGGGCAUAUUUUUUUCGGCCUUUAUGGGCAGAGAACUUUAAUGCCGCUCAAAAUGAGGCCACCCAGUAGUUAGGUGUGAAUUUUCGAGACCUCUGGCACCGUUCUAAGAUGGGUCCUCUCUUCGUAGGCUAAUGCAUUGGCCCUUUUUGACCCGUUUUGGGGCGAAAACAAAAACUGACUCCCGGGCAUAUUUUUUUCGGCCUUUAUGGGCAGAGAACUUUAAUACCGCUCAGAAUGAGGCCACCCAGUAGUUAGGUGUGAAUUUUCGAGACCUUCUGGCACCGUUCUAAGAUGGGUCCUCUCUUCGUAGGCUAAUGCAUUGGCCCUUUUUGACCCGUUUUGGGGCGAAAACAAAAACUGACUCCCGGGCAUAUUUUUUUCGGCCUUUAUGGGCAGAGAACUUUAAUACCGCUCAGAAUGAGGCCACCCAGUAGUUAGGUGUGAAUUUUCGAGACCUCUGGCACCGUUCUAAGAUGGGUCCUCUCUUCGUAGGCUAAUGCAUUGGCCCUUUUUGACCCGUUUUGGGGCGAAAACAAAAACUGACUCCCGGGCAUAUUUUUUUCGGCCUUUAUGGGCAGAGAACUUUAAUACCGCUCAGAAUGAGGCCACCCAGUAGUUAGGUGUGAAUUUUCGAGACCUUUGGCACCGUUCUAAGAUGGGUCCUCUCUUCGUAGGCUAAUGCAUUGGCCCUUUUUGACCCGUUUUGGGGCGAAAACAAAAACUGACUCCCGGGCAUAUUUUUUUCGGCCUUUAUGGGCAGAGAACUUUAAUGCCGCUCAGAAUGAGGCCACCCAGUAGUUAGGUGUGAAUUUUCGAGACCUUUGGCACCGUUCUAAGAUGGGUCCUCUCUUCGUAGGCUAAUGCAUUGGCCCUUUUUGACCCGUUUUGGGGCGAAAACAAAAACUGACUCCCGGGCAUAUUUUUUUCGGCCUUUAUGGGCAGAGAACUUUAAUGCCGCUCAGAAUGAGGCCACCCAGUAGUUAGGUGUGAAUUUUCGAGACCUCUGGCACCGUUCUAAGAUGGGUCCUCUCUUCGUAGGCUAAUGCAUUGGCCCUUUUUGACCCGUUUUGGGGCGAAAACAAAAACUGACUCCCGGGCAUAUUUUUUUCGGCCUUUAUGGGCAGAGAACUUUAAUACCGCUCAAAAUGAGGCCACCCAGUAGUUAGGUGUGAAUUUUCGAGACCUUUGGCACCGUUCUAAGAUGGGUCCUCUCUUCGUAGGCUAAUGCAUUGGCCCUUUUUGACCCGUUUUGGGGCGAAAACAAAAACUGACUCCCGGGCAUAUUUUUUUCGGCCUUUAUGGGCAGAGAACUUUAAUACCGCUCAAAAUGAGGCCACCCAGUAGUUAGGUGUGAAUUUUCGAGACCUCUGGCACCGUUCUAAGAUGGGUCCUCUCUUCGUAGGCUAAUGCAUUGGCCCUUUUUGACCCGUUUUGGGGCGAAAACAAAAACUGACUCCCGGGCAUAUUUUUUUCGGCCUUUAUGGGCAGAGAACUUUAAUACCGCUCAAAAUGAGGCCACCCAGUAGUUAGGUGUGAAUUUUCGAGACCUUUGGCACCGUUCUAAGAUGGGUCCUCUCUUCGUAGGCUAAUGCAUUGGCCCUUUUUGACCCGUUUUGGGGCGAAAACAAAAACUGACUCCCGGGCAUAUUUUUUUCGGCCUUUAUGGGCAGAGAACUUUAAUACCGCUCAGAAUGAGGCCACCCAGUAGUUAGGUGUGAAUUUUCGAGACCUUUGGCACCGUUCUAAGAUGGGUCCUCUCUUCGUAGGCUAAUGCAUUGGCCCUUUUUGACCCGUUUUGGGGCGAAAACAAAAACUGACUCCCGGGCAUAUUUUUUUCGGCCUUUAUGGGCAGAGAACUUUAAUACGCCGCUCAGAAUGAGGCCACCCAGUAGUUAGGUGUGAAUUUUCGAGACCUUUGGCACCGUUCUAAGAUGGGUCCUCUCUUCGUAGGCUAAUGCAUUGGCCCUUUUUGACCCGUUUUGGGGCGAAAACAAAAACUGACUCCCGGGCAUAUUUUUUUCGGCCUUUAUGGGCAGAGAACUUUAAUACCGCUCAGAAUGAGGCCACCCAGUAGUUAGGUGUGAAUUUUCGAGACCUUUGGCACCGUUCUAAGAUGGGUCCUCUCUUCGUAGGCUAAUGCAUUGGCCCUUUUUGACCCGUUUUGGGGCGAAAACAAAAACUGACUCCCGGGCAUAUUUUUUUCGGCCUUUAUGGGCAGAGAACUUUAAUACCGCUCAGAAUGAGGCCACCCAGUAGUUAGGUGUGAAUUUUCGAGACCUUUGGCACCGUUCUAAGAUGGGUCCUCUCUUCGUAGGCUAAUGCAUUGGCCCUUUUUGACCCGUUUUGGGGCGAAAACAAAAACUGACUCCCGGGCAUAUUUUUUUCGGCCUUUAUGGGCAGAGAACUUUAAUACCGCUCAAAAUGAGGCCACCCAGUAGUUAGGUGUGAAUUUUCGAGACCUUCUGGCACCGUUCUAAGAUGGGUCCUCUCUUCGUAGGCUAAUGCAUUGGCCCUUUUUGACCCGUUUUGGGGCGAAAACAAAAACUGACUCCCGGGCAUAUUUUUUUCGGCCUUUAUGGGCAGAGAACUUUAAUACCGCUCAAAAUGAGGCCACCCAGUAGUUAGGUGUGAAUUUUCGAGACCUCUGGCACCGUUCUAAGAUGGGUCCUCUCUUCGUAGGCUAAUGCAUUGGCCCUUUUUGACCCGUUUUGGGGCGAAAACAAAAACUGACUCCCGGGCAUAUUUUUUUCGGCCUUUAUGGGCAGAGAACUUUAAUACCCGCUCAGAAUGAGGCCACCCAGUAGUUAGGUGUGAAUUUUCGAGACCUUCUGGCACCGUUCUAAGAUGGGUCCUCUCUUCGUAGGCUAAUGCAUUGGCCCUUUUUGACCCGUUUUGGGGCGAAAACAAAAACUGACUCCCGGGCAUAUUUUUUUCGGCCUUUAUGGGCAGAGAACUUUAAUACCGCUCAAAAUGAGGCCACCCAGUAGUUAGGUGUGAAUUUUCGAGACCUCUGGCACCGUUCUAAGAUGGGUCCUCUCUUCGUAGGCUAAUGCAUUGGCCCUUUUUGACCCGUUUUGGGGCGAAAACAAAAACUGACUCCCGGGCAUAUUUUUUUCGGCCUUUAUGGGCAGAGAACUUUAAUACCGCUCAAAAUGAGGCCACCCAGUAGUUAGGUGUGAAUUUUCGAGACCUUUGGCACCGUUCUAAGAUGGGUCCUCUCUUCGUAGGCUAAUGCAUUGGCCCUUUUUGACCCGUUUUGGGGCGAAAACAAAAACUGACUCCCGGGCAUAUUUUUUUCGGCCUUUAUGGGCAGAGAACUUUAAUGCCGCUCAGAAUGAGGCCACCCAGUAGUUAGGUGUGAAUUUUCGAGACCUUUGGCACCGUUCUAAGAUGGGUCCUCUCUUCGUAGGCUAAUGCAUUGGCCCUUUUUGACCCGUUUUGGGGCGAAAACAAAAACUGACUCCCGGGCAUAUUUUUUUCGGCCUUUAUGGGCAGAGAACUUUAAUGCCGCUCAAAAUGAGGCCACCCAGUAGUUAGGUGUGAAUUUUCGAGACCUUUGGCACCGUUCUAAGAUGGGUCCUCUCUUCGUAGGCUAAUGCAUUGGCCCUUUUUGACCCGUUUUGGGGCGAAAACAAAAACUGACUCCCGGGCAUAUUUUUUUCGGCCUUUAUGGGCAGAGAACUUUAAUACCGCUCAAAAUGAGGCCACCCAGUAGUUAGGUGUGAAUUUUCGAGACCUUUGGCACCGUUCUAAGAUGGGUCCUCUCUUCGUAGGCUAAUGCAUUGGCCCUUUUUGACCCGUUUUGGGGCGAAAACAAAAACUGACUCCCGGGCAUAUUUUUUUCGGCCUUUAUGGGCAGAGAACUUUAAUGCCGCUCAAAAUGAGGCCACCCAGUAGUUAGGUGUGAAUUUUCGAGACCUUUGGCACCGUUCUAAGAUGGGUCCUCUCUUCGUAGGCUAAUGCAUUGGCCCUUUUUGACCCGUUUUGGGGCGAAAACAAAAACUGACUCCCGGGCAUAUUUUUUUCGGCCUUUAUGGGCAGAGAACUUUAAUACCCGCUCAGAAUGAGGCCACCCAGUAGUUAGGUGUGAAUUUUCGAGACCUUUGGCACCGUUCUAAGAUGGGUCCUCUCUUCGUAGGCUAAUGCAUUGGCCCUUUUUGACCCGUUUUGGGGCGAAAACAAAAACUGACUCCCGGGCAUAUUUUUUUCGGCCUUUAUGGGCAGAGAACUUUAAUACCGCUCAGAAAUGAGGCCACCCAGUAGUUAGGUGUGAAUUUUCGAGACCUUUGGCACCGUUCUAAGAUGGGUCCUCUCUUCGUAGGCUAAUGCAUUGGCCCUUUUUGACCCGUUUUGGGGCGAAAACAAAAACUGACUCCCGGGCAUAUUUUUUUCGGCCUUUAUGGGCAGAGAACUUUAAUACCGCUCAGAAAUGAGGCCACCCAGUAGUUAGGUGGGAAUUUUCGAGACCUUUGGCACCGUUCUAAGAUGGGUCCUCUCUUCGUAGGCUAAUGCAUUGGCCCUUUUUGACCCGUUUUGGGGCGAAAACAAAAACUGACUCCCGGGCAUAUUUUUUUCGGCCUUUAUGGGCAGAGAACUUUAACACCGCUCAAAAUGAGGCCACCCAGUAGUUAGGUGUGAAUUUUCGAGACCUUUGGCACCGUUCUAAGAUGGGUCCUCUCUUCGUAGGCUAAUGCAUUGGCCCUUUUUGACCCGUUUUGGGGCGAAAACAAAAACUGACUCCCGGGCAUAUUUUUUUCGGCCUUUAUGGGCAGAGAACUUUAAUACCGCUCAAAAUGAGGCCACCCAGUAGUUAGGUGUGAAUUUUCGAGACCUUUGGCACCGUUCUAAGAUGGGUCCUCUCUUCGUAGGCUAAUGCAUUGGCCCUUUUUGACCCGUUUUGGGGCGAAAACAAAAACUGACUCCCGGGCAUAUUUUUUUCGGCCUUUAUGGGCAGAGAACUUUAACACCGCUCAAAAUGAGGCCACCCAGUAGUUAGGUGGGAAUUUUCGAGACCUUUGGCACCGUUCUAAGAUGGGUCCUCUCUUCGUAGGCUAAUGCAUUGGCCCUUUUUGACCCGUUUUGGGGCGAAAACAAAAACUGACUCCCGGGCAUAUUUUUUUUCGGCCUUUAUGGGCAGAGAACUUUAACACCGCUCAAAAUGAGGCCACCCAGUAGUUAGGUGGGAAUUUUCGAGACCUUUGGCACCGUUCUAAGAUGGGUCCUCUCUUCGUAGGCUAAUGCAUUGGCCCUUUUUGACCCGUUUUGGGGCGAAAACAAAAACUGACUCCCGGGCAUAUUUUUC